Molecule: long non-coding RNA, 526 nt
Filed under: Equus caballus (horse)
Lineage: Eukaryota; Metazoa; Chordata; Mammalia; Perissodactyla; Equidae
Description: lncRNA (ENSECAG00000047718.1)
Source: RNAcentral
UUUUUGAGCUGUGACUCAUAUUUAGAAGUUGGCACAUAAGUGAAGACAAAUAAUAUAUCAUCUUACCUGACUAAAAACAGUGACUUCCUUAUUCACUGGAAGAACUGAAGACUGCACCCAAAAUUCACAGAAAUAUAUAGCUAGGCACUGCGACAGGGAGUGAAAUCAGCAGGCAAGGAUCCAGCCUGAUACUCCCAGGGCCUAACCACAAAGGUCACAAGGCAGCCAUUGGACUCAGCAUGUUCACUUUUCCAGCGGAAGGGGACAAAGUUUAAACUAACAGAAUGUGUCACUGGAAGGCACUUCAGAGAUCAUUUAGACCGGUGCUCCUCAGACUUAAAUGUGCACGUGUGGAAACUGAAGUCCAGAGAGGUGAAGUGAUUUCUCCAAAGCCGCACAGAUCAAGUUAAAGGAGUCUUUGGGGGCCCAGACCAGUGUUUGUUUAAUUAUAAAAUGGCUGGGCUUAGUAAAACAGAGGUAUACCCCCCUUUCUUAAAGUCUCAUGGCACGAGGAGGGAGAGCCGAG